AUUGAACGCUGGCGGCAUGCCUUACACAUGCAAGUCGAACGGUAACAGGUCUUCGGAUGCUGACGAGUGGCGAACGGGUGAGUAAUACAUCGGAACGUGCCUAGUAGUGGGGGAUGACUACUCGAAAGAGUGGCUAAUACCGCAUGAGAUCUACGGAUGAAAGCAGGGGAUCGCAAGACCUUGUGCUACUAGAGCGGCCGAUGGCAGAUUAGGUAGUUGGUGGGAUAAAAGCUUACCAAGCCGACGAUCUGUAGCUGGUCUGAGAGGACGAUCAGCCACACUGGGGCUGAGACACGGCCCAGACUCCUACGGGAGGCAGCAGUGGGGAAUUUUGGACAAUGGGCGCAAGCCUGAUCCAGCAAUGCCGCGUGCAGGAUGAAGGCCUUCGGGUUGUAAACUGCUUUUGUACGGAACGAAAAGCCCCGGGUUAAUACCCUGGGGUCAUGACGGUACCGUAAGAAUAAGCACCGGCUAACUACGUGCCAGCCGCCGCUGUAA
Molecule: ribosomal RNA, 498 nt
Filed under: uncultured bacterium
Lineage: Bacteria
Description: partial 16S ribosomal RNA
Rfam family: Bacterial small subunit ribosomal RNA
Source: RNAcentral